Molecule: long non-coding RNA, 459 nt
Organism: Poeciliopsis prolifica (blackstripe livebearer)
Lineage: Eukaryota; Metazoa; Chordata; Actinopteri; Cyprinodontiformes; Poeciliidae
Exons: 2
Source: RefSeq, a predicted model, not a curated record
UUUUUAUUUGCAUCUGGAGAUUGGCACAACAUGAAGAGUUAUAGAAAUAUGAAUACAAGUUUCUGCAAGAGAAGACCCAUCUGGACUGAGAUUUCUGUCUCAUCAAAAAUCUGAGACGACAUGUAUUCAUCAUGUACCAGUUAGGAAAUGUUAAACCCAUGAACUCUUGACUGGCUGUGUUCUGCAGAUGAAGACAGUAUUUUGUGAUUCGUUCUCUCCAGGUCUUUUUAAAACAUUUCUGCUUCCCUGGGAUGAAGUGAAUCAUGACAAGAGUUUAUUUUUCCUUGUCCGUGGUGCAGUCUGUGCAUCUAACUGGAAGGGGAUUAUCAACAGAACAAUCCUUUUUCACAUCACAAACUUUGGCUGCAUUGUGCCAAAACAAAAUUGAUCCCUUUUUCUUUAUUCUUUAUGUAUCAGUAAUAAUAUUUGCAGUCUGUUUAAAAUAAAUCCUCAAACACA